RNAcentral lists this microRNA precursor (58 nucleotides) under Xenopus laevis (African clawed frog). RNAcentral's name for it is "Xla-Mir-551-P1b_pre stem-loop". Lineage: Eukaryota; Metazoa; Chordata; Amphibia; Anura; Pipidae. The record is from RNAcentral.
GAAACCAAAGUUGGGUUGGGCCUGUUAGAUUCCAUAGGCGACCCAUACUUGGUUUCAA